Molecule: ribosomal RNA, 200 nt
Filed under: uncultured prokaryote
Description: partial 16S ribosomal RNA
Rfam family: Bacterial small subunit ribosomal RNA
Source: RNAcentral
CGUCAAAUCAUCAUGCCCCUUAUGUCUUGGGCUACACACGUGCUACAAUGGACGGAACAAAGUGAGGCGAGCCCGCGAGGGGGAGCAAAGCACAGAAAACCGUUCUCAGUUCGGAUUGCAGGCUGCAACCCGCCUGCAUGAAGCUGGAAUCGCUAGUAAUCGCAAAUCAGCAUGUUGCGGUGAAUACGUUCCCGGGUCUU